RNAcentral lists this long non-coding RNA (243 nucleotides) under Crocodylus porosus (Australian saltwater crocodile). RNAcentral describes it as "lncRNA (ENSCPRG00005003121.1)". The record is from RNAcentral. Lineage: Eukaryota; Metazoa; Chordata; Crocodylia; Crocodylidae.
AUCCUUGAUGAUUACUAUUGAUGUCAGAGGUCAAUUCAUGUGAGAGACAGUUUGAUCCUUUGCAAGCUGAAAUGUGAUGCUAAAAGAUUGAGAUAUGACACAGUUGGACUUCUGGAGUAUUUCUUGUCUAAAACAGAACCAUCACAAAAGCAUCCACCCCCAGCUCCUCAAACUCAAGUUUGUUUAACAAGAAAGAAAAUACGCUGUUAUGUGAAGUUUCUCCAGAGUGAGUCAUGAAUGGCA